GGAUGUAGAGUUUAGGGUUUAGGGUUUUGCUUCCAAAAAACUAAAUCACCACCUAAAUAUUAUGCUAGCAAGGACGGCUCGUUUUCCACUAAGACAUGACAUCAAUUCUUAGGCUGGAGCUCGUGAUCCCACCGCAAACCGUCACUGCGAUCAAACCCAUCCCGGAACUUUCCUUUUGGGAGAGGUAGAUCCGCCACAACCAGAUAUCUAUUAGCUUCUUCUCCCUGACCUAGCAAAAAGAAGCCUCGCAACUAAC
Molecule: long non-coding RNA, 256 nt
Filed under: Capsella rubella
Lineage: Eukaryota; Viridiplantae; Streptophyta; Magnoliopsida; Brassicales; Brassicaceae
Description: long non-coding RNA (CRUB_LNC000184)
Source: RNAcentral